GCAGGAAGCCUGUGAUGUCUUGGCCACGAUGUCUGAACCUGGCUGAAGGAACUUCUGAAGACUCCCACCUAGGCGCUGAGGCUUCCGGGGGA
Small nucleolar RNA from Anser brachyrhynchus (Pink-footed goose), 92 nucleotides. NCBI's taxonomy places the organism in Eukaryota, Metazoa, Chordata, Aves, Anseriformes, Anatidae. The record is from Ensembl.